CUUAGCAACUUUUCUCACUGAGACAAAAUACUCAACAUGCAAAGUUAAAGGAAGAAAGGUUUAUUUCAGCUCACAGUUUGUAGAGGUUUCAGUCCAGUCAGCUAGCUCCAAAGCAAGGUGAAGACAGAGGAGAAAGAGUCCAUGGUGAGCAGGCAGAAGACAGUGAAGCAGCAAGCAGCAGCAAUAGUAAGAGCUGACCUGCUUUUCCCUUUUACUCCAAAUAGGCUACCAACAUACUGAUUGGCACCAUUUAUUCCCACAGGUGGAGCUGCCAUUACCCACCUCCUUAACUCUAGAAUCACAUCCUUAAUCCACCUUCACACAUGACUGCAGAUGAGCAGGAAGCAGCCUUGCAAACUCCAGUCAGUGGCAGCUGCAGCAGGAAGGGCCUGGCUCAGAUCAGAGCACAGGAGGACACAGGGAGGAGGCUGCAUCUGCGGUCCAGGAAGGGAGCCUUCAGCAGAACCUGAGCAAACCCGGCUGAUCCGAGGACCCGAAGCCCUCUGCACCUCUGACAUGGGGUGACUCACCCUCUGGGAUCUGGGAC
Long non-coding RNA from Cavia porcellus (domestic guinea pig), 547 nucleotides. NCBI's taxonomy places the organism in Eukaryota, Metazoa, Chordata, Mammalia, Rodentia, Caviidae. The record is from Ensembl.